Molecule: unclassified non-coding RNA, 560 nt
Filed under: Hevea brasiliensis (rubber tree)
Lineage: Eukaryota; Viridiplantae; Streptophyta; Magnoliopsida; Malpighiales; Euphorbiaceae
Source: RNAcentral
GUUUGCUUGCCUCUAUCUCCAUCAUUACGUGAUUCUCUGCCGAGUUCCUCUCCUUAGAUUUUGUUAAAACAAACCAUGAAAAAGGAGGUGGAUAUAUAAUAGGAUAAGAAGGCGAGAAAGAUGUGAAAAUGGAGAAACAAGUAAUUUAUGAGUUGACCGAGUGAAUAAUAUUAGGUUAAGAGAGUACCAUGCAGAAAGAGCCUCAAACCCAACUCGGAGAAGCAACCAACUUUUCUUCUUCUUCUACUUCUUGUGGUUCAGAUUGAAUCUCAAAAAUACAAUGUAGAUGGAAGAAAUAAAGAAGGACAGAGUUGCUGAUCGUGGAUUAAAUGGGGUUGUGGAGGCUGUUGGUGGAGGCAUUUAAUAAAAAGACCGAACCUCAUUAAACUUGCAGCUCCGUUGAGCUUUGGCACAUGACACUAAAGCAGCAACCGUCUGACAUGAGCCAUUUAAUAACUUUCUAGUUUUAAACCAUUGGAAUUCAAUUUAUCUUAUCUACCAUUCAUUAUUUGGCGAGCUUGCAAGCAUGCUUCUUCGAUUCUUAGGUGCAGCUGCUUGAA